GAUAUACUUUUAUUAGAA
This 18-nucleotide transfer RNA is filed under the name Carlius sp. ASP10. Its description in RNAcentral is "partial tRNA-Leu". RNAcentral also lists the same sequence under 3 other names. The record is from RNAcentral. Lineage: Eukaryota; Metazoa; Arthropoda; Insecta; Phasmatodea; Phasmatidae.